UGGGGAAUUUUGGACAAUGGACGCAAGUCUGAUCCAGCCAUGCCGCGUGCGGGAAGAAGGCCUUCGGGUUGUAAACCGCUUUUGUCAGGGAAGAAACGAGUUUCUCUAAUACAGAGACUUAAUGACGGUACCUGAAGAAUAAGCACCGGCUAACUACGUGCCAGCAGCCGCGGUAAUACGUAGGGUGCAAGCGUUAAUCGGGAUUACUGGGCGUAAAGCGUGCGCAGGCGGUUAUGCAAGACAGAUGUGAAAUCCCCGGGCUCAACCUGGGAACUGCAUUUGUGACUGCAUAGCUGGAGUGCGGCAGAGGGGGAUGGAAUUCCGCGUGUAGCAGUGAAAUGCGUAGAUAUGCGGAGGAACACCGAUGGCGAAGGCGACCACCGGGACUGAUACUGACACUGAGGUGCGAAAGCGUGGGGAGCAAACA
Molecule: ribosomal RNA, 427 nt
Filed under: uncultured bacterium
Lineage: Bacteria
Description: bacterial SSU rRNA
Rfam family: Bacterial small subunit ribosomal RNA
Source: RNAcentral